This 166-nucleotide ribosomal RNA is filed under the name uncultured bacterium. Its description in RNAcentral is "partial 16S ribosomal RNA". It matches the Rfam family "Bacterial small subunit ribosomal RNA", at positions 1335 to 1500 of the family's 1533-position model. The record is from RNAcentral.
CUAGUAAUCCCGAAUCAGAAUGUCGGGGUGAAUGCGUUCCCGGGUCUUGUACACACCGCCCGUCACGCCAUAGGAGUUGGGGGUAUCCGAAGUCGGUGAGCUAACCGCAAGGGGGCAGCCGCCUAAGGUAAAACCAAUGACUGGGGUGAAGUCGUAACAAGGUAUC